GAUGAAGAACGUAGUGAAAUGCGAUAAGUAAUGUGAAUUGCAGAAUUCAGCGAAUCAUCGAAUCUUUGAACGCACAUUGCGCCCGCCAGUAUUCUGGCGGGCAUGCCUGUUCGAGCGUCAUUUCAACCAUCAAGCCCCCGGCUUGUGUUGGGGACCUGCGGCUGCCGCAGGCCCUGAAAAGCAGUGGCGGGCUCGCUGUCACACCGAGCGUAGUAGCAUACAUCUCGCUCUGGGCGUGCUGCGGGUUCCGGCCGUUAAACCACCUUCAUAACCCAAGGUUGACCUCGGAUCAGGUAGGAAGACCCGCUGAACUUAAGCAUAUCAAUAAGCGGAGGA
This 336-nucleotide unclassified non-coding RNA is filed under the name soil metagenome. RNAcentral's name for it is "partial contains 5.8S ribosomal RNA, internal transcribed spacer 2, and large subunit ribosomal RNA". The stretch from base 1 to 120 matches the Rfam family "5.8S ribosomal RNA", at positions 35 to 154 of the family's 154-position model. The record is from RNAcentral.